UGAGGAAUAUUGGUCAAUGGGCGAGAGCCUGAACCAGCCAAGUAGCGUGCAGGAAGACGGCCCUAUGGGUUGUAAACUGCUUUUAUGUGGGGAUAAAGUGCGUGACGUGUCAUGCAUUGCAGGUACCACAUGAAUAAGGACCGGCUAAUUCCGUGCCAGCAGCCGCGGUAAUACGGAAGGUCCGGGCGUUAUCCGGAUUUAUUGGGUUUAAAGGGAGCGUAGGCUGUCUAUUAAGCGUGUUGUGAAAUGUAGAUGCUCAACAUCUGAACUGCAGCGGGAACUGGCUGGAUUGAGUACACGCAACGUGGGCGGAAUUCAUGGUGUAGCGGUGAAAUGCUUAGAUAUCAUGAGGAACUCCUAUUGCGAAGGCAGCUCACGGGAGUGUCACUGACGCUUAAGCUCGAAAGUGCGGGUAUCAAACAGG
RNAcentral lists this ribosomal RNA (424 nucleotides) under Verrucomicrobiota bacterium. RNAcentral describes it as "Verrucomicrobia bacterium partial 16S ribosomal RNA". It matches the Rfam family "Bacterial small subunit ribosomal RNA", at positions 355 to 776 of the family's 1533-position model. The record is from RNAcentral. Lineage: Bacteria; Pseudomonadati; Verrucomicrobiota.